RNAcentral lists this ribosomal RNA (443 nucleotides) under uncultured bacterium. Its description in RNAcentral is "partial 16S ribosomal RNA". It matches the Rfam family "Bacterial small subunit ribosomal RNA", at positions 338 to 795 of the family's 1533-position model. The record is from RNAcentral.
CCUACGGGGUGCUGCAGUGGGGAAUAUUGCACAAUGGGCGAAAGCCUGAUGCAGCAACGCCGCGUGAAGGAAGAAGGGUUUCGGCUCGUAAACUUCUAUCAACAGGGACGAAAGAAAUGACGGUACCUGAAUAAGAAGCCCCGGCUAACUACGUGCCAGCAGCCGCGGUAAUACGUAGGGGGCAAGCGUUAUCCGGAAUUACUGGGUAUAAAGGGUGAGUAGGGGGCGUGGUAAGGGAGAUGUGAAAGCGUUGGGCUUAACCCGAAGAUUGGAUUUGGAACUAUAAAGCUAGAGUACAGGAGAGGAAAGCGGAAUUCCUAGUGUAGCGGUGAAAUGCGUAGAUAUUAGGAGGAACACCGGUGGCGAAGGCGGCCUGCUGGACUGUGACUGACGUUGAGGCCCGAAGGCGUGGGGAGCAAACAGGAUUAGAUACCCGUGUAGUC